AAGACCUGUGAGCCUCUAAUUCACAUCAACUGAAUGCAACUCAACCGCUUUAACUAAGCUAAGGCCUA
This 68-nucleotide transfer RNA is filed under the name Pachydactylus vanzyli. RNAcentral describes it as "tRNA-Ala". Lineage: Eukaryota; Metazoa; Chordata; Lepidosauria; Squamata; Gekkonidae. The record is from RNAcentral.